UACGUAGGGGGCAAGCGUUGUUCGGAAUUACUGGGCGUAAAGGGCGUGUAGGCGGUGCGGUAUGUUGGACGUGAAAUCCCCGGGCUUAACUCGGGGGGGUCGUUCAAAACUGCCGUGCUAGAGUGUGGGAGAGGGAAGUGGAAUUCCCGGUGUAGCGGUGAAAUGCGUAGAUAUCGGGAAGAACAUCUGUGGCGAAGGCGGCUUCCUGGCCCACAACUGACGCUGAGGCGCGAAAGCUAGGGGAGCAAACAGGAUUAGAUACCCUGGUAGUCCUAGCCCUAAACGAUGAACACUUGGUGUGACCCUUCACGGGGUCGUGCCGGAGCUAACGUGUUAAGUGUUCCGCCUGGGGAGUACGGUCGCAAGGCUGAA
RNAcentral lists this ribosomal RNA (372 nucleotides) under uncultured bacterium. Its description in RNAcentral is "bacterial SSU rRNA". It matches the Rfam family "Bacterial small subunit ribosomal RNA", at positions 524 to 898 of the family's 1533-position model. The record is from RNAcentral.